Molecule: ribosomal RNA, 426 nt
Filed under: Klebsiella sp.
Lineage: Bacteria; Pseudomonadati; Pseudomonadota; Gammaproteobacteria; Enterobacterales; Enterobacteriaceae
Description: bacterial SSU rRNA
Rfam family: Bacterial small subunit ribosomal RNA
Source: RNAcentral
CAGCAGUGGGGAAUAUUGCACAAUGGGCGCAAGCCUGAUGCAGCCAUGCCGCGUGUAUGAAGAAGGCCUUCGGGUUGUAAAGUACUUUCAGCGGGGAGGAAGGCGAUAAGGUUAAUAACCUUGUCGAUUGACGUUACCCGCAGAAGAAGCACCGGCUAACUCCGUGCCAGCAGCCGCGGUAAUACGGAGGGUGCAAGCGUUAAUCGGAAUUACUGGGCGUAAAGCGCACGCAGGCGGUCUGUCAAGUCGGAUGUGAAAUCCCCGGGCUCAACCUGGGAACUGCAUUCGAAACUGGCAGGCUAGAGUCUUGUAGAGGGGGGUAGAAUUCCAGGUGUAGCGGUGAAAUGCGUAGAGAUCUGGAGGAAUACCGGUGGCGAAGGCGGCCCCCUGGACAAAGACUGACGCUCAGGUGCGAAAGCGUGGGGA